Non-coding RNA from Aedes aegypti (yellow fever mosquito), 146 nucleotides. The record is from Rfam. Lineage: Eukaryota; Metazoa; Arthropoda; Insecta; Diptera; Culicidae.
GCCGCUGGAUCCGUGAGCCGUGUCUUUUGGAUAUGGCAACACGAAUACUGGAAACCCAAGCGGAUGGGAAUUGCCCCGUUGUUCCAGACCAGGGGAUUUUUUUUUUAUUAUCGUACAAAUUGGGCCGAAGGGUCUCAGAUUUUCAU